This 458-nucleotide ribosomal RNA is filed under the name uncultured bacterium. RNAcentral describes it as "bacterial SSU rRNA". It matches the Rfam family "Bacterial small subunit ribosomal RNA", at positions 340 to 786 of the family's 1533-position model. The record is from RNAcentral.
UACGGGAGGCAGCAGUGGGGAAUAUUGCACAAUGGGCGAAAGCCUGAUGCAGCUAUGCCGCGUGUAUGAAGAAGGCCUUAGGGUUGUAAAGUACUUUCAUCGGGGAGGAAAAAACAAAACUAAUAAUUUUAUUUCUUGACGUUACCCGAAAAAGAAGCACCGGCUAACUCCGUGCCAGCAGCCGCGGUAAUACGAAGGGUGCUAGCGUUAAUCAGAAUUACUGGGCGUAAAGAGCACGUAGGUGGUUUUUUUAAAGUCAGAUGUGAAAUCCCCUGGGCUUAACCUAGGAACUGCAUUUUGAAACUGAAAUACUAGAGUAUCGUAGAGGGAGGUAGAAUUCUAGGUGUAGCGGUGAAAUGCGUAGAUAUCUGGAGGAAUACCUGUGGCGAAAGCGGCCUCCUAAACGAAUACUGACACUGAGGUGCGAAAGCGUGGGGAGCAAACAGGGAUUAGAUACC